GGCCCUGCGCUUUCUUCUCGCCCAUCCGUUUCUAUGCCCCUUCGGACGUGCUCAGUGCAGCCCUUCCCUAUGGCUGGGACUUAAGGCCCACGGGCCUGGCAGUUCUCUGGCGUCUUUCGAUCCCGUGUGGGAUUCUCUCUCCUGAGUGUCUGAAACGAUCAGUUCACUGCCUGACGUGAAAACACCUAGUCCCUGUUUUUCAGAUUAACUCUUAAGUACUCCACGGCUACAUGCUCCUGAAGCUGUUAUAGGCCCAGCCUCAGAUCUGUGCAGGGCGGAUGCACAAGAGCAGAAUCUCCGUGGACAUCUUUCUGGAGCAUCAAUUUUACUGCAAGAUUUUGAAGAAACACAUUUAAUUGAUUUUCAAGGUGAGAAAUUAAACCUCGAAAACUAGAC
Long non-coding RNA from Homo sapiens (human), 396 nucleotides. Lineage: Eukaryota; Metazoa; Chordata; Mammalia; Primates; Hominidae. The record is from Ensembl.